Molecule: ribosomal RNA, 590 nt
Filed under: uncultured bacterium
Lineage: Bacteria
Description: partial 16S ribosomal RNA
Rfam family: Bacterial small subunit ribosomal RNA
Source: RNAcentral
UGAGGAAUAUUGCGCAAUGGGCGAAAGCCUGACGCAGCGACGCCGCGUGGAGGAUGAAGGUUUUCGGAUUGUAAACUCCUGUUAAGUGGGAAGAAACGACAAAAUAUAAUACAUUUUGUAACUGACGGUACCAUUAAAGAAAGCACCGGCUAACUUCGUGCCAGCAGCCGCGGUAAUACGAGGGGUGCAAGCGUUAUUCGGAAUUAUUGGGCGUAAAGGGUGCGUAGGCGGCGUAUUAAGUCAACUGUUAAAACCUCCAGCCUAACUGGAGAUCAGCAGUAGAUACUGGUAUGCUAGAGGAUGGAAGAGAGAAGUGGAAUUCUUGGAGUAGCGGUGGAAUGCGUAGAUCUCAAGAGGAACACCAAUGGCGAAGGCAGCUUCUUGGUCCAUAUCUGACGCUGAUGCACGAAAGCGUGGGGAGCAAAACAGGAUUAGAUACCCUGGUAGUCCACGCCGUAAACGAUGAUCACUAGAUGUUAAUUCUGCUUGCAGAAUUAGUGUCGUAGCUAACGCGAUAAGUGAUCCGCCUGGGGGACUACGGUCGCAAGAUUAAAACUCAAAUGAAUUGACGGGGUCAUAGCUGUUUCCUG